This 171-nucleotide ribosomal RNA is filed under the name uncultured Alcaligenes sp. Its description in RNAcentral is "partial 16S ribosomal RNA". It matches the Rfam family "Bacterial small subunit ribosomal RNA", at positions 358 to 525 of the family's 1533-position model. The record is from RNAcentral. Lineage: Bacteria; Pseudomonadati; Pseudomonadota; Betaproteobacteria; Burkholderiales; Alcaligenaceae.
UGGUCGCAGAUCACAGGACCCUGAUCAGCCAUGCCCGCGUGUAUGAUGAAGGCCUUCGGGUUGUAAAGUACUUUUGGCAGAGAAGAAAAGGUAUCUCCUAAUACGAGAUACUGCUGACGGUAUCUGCAGAAUAAGCACCGGCUAACUACGUGCCAGCAGCCGCGGUAAUUA